Molecule: unclassified non-coding RNA, 236 nt
Filed under: fungal sp.
Lineage: Eukaryota; Fungi
Also listed under: 1 other name
Description: partial internal transcribed spacer region
Rfam family: Eukaryotic small subunit ribosomal RNA (bases 1-46)
Source: RNAcentral
AAGUCGUAACAAGGUAACCGUAGGUGAACCUGCGGUUGGAUCAUUAUUGAUUUUGUUAAAUAAUAACCAAAAGUUUAACAGUGUUUGGUGUAAAAACCAUUCGCAUACACCUGUGAACUGUGACUGUUUCUGGGUCCUAAUGCUCUCGAGCGACAGGGCCCGACAUAUUAACUAUAUACUAAUGUCUGAAUAAAUUUAAAUAAAAACAACUUUUGACAACGGAUCUCUUGGCUCUC